Long non-coding RNA from Aricia agestis (brown argus), 93 nucleotides. RefSeq lists it as uncharacterized. The record is from RefSeq and is a predicted model, not a curated record. The transcript has 3 exons. Lineage: Eukaryota; Metazoa; Arthropoda; Insecta; Lepidoptera; Lycaenidae.
AGUCUCACGGAAUUCCGAAUACGGAAAACAAAUUCGCAAAUCGAAUACCAAAAAUGUGCGUUUGCGGCCAGCUUGAUCUGAAGUUUUGAGUUU